GGUCUGUUAGAUAGCCAUGCAUGUCUAAGUAUAAGCAAUUAUACCGUGAAACUGCGAAUGGCUCAUUAAAUCAGUUAUCGUUUAUUUGAUAAUACCUUACUACUUGGAUAACCGUGGUAAUUCUAGAGCUAAUACAUGCUGAAAAUCCCGACUUCGGAAGGGAUGUGUUUAUUAGAUAAAAAACCAAUGCCCUUCGGGGCUUUUUGGUGAUUCAUGAUAACUUUACGGAUCGCAUAGCCUUGCGCUGGCGACGGUUCAUUCAAAUUUCUGCCCUAUCAACUUUCGAUGGUAAGGUAUUGGCUUACCAUGGUUUCAACGGGUAACGGGGAAUUAGGGUUCGAUUCCGGAGAGGGAGCCUGAGAAACGGCUACCACAUCCAAGGAAGGCAGCAGGCGCGCAAAUUACCCAAUCCCGACACGGGGAGGUAGUGACAAUAAAUACUGAUACAGGGCUCUUUUGGGUCUUGUAAUUGGAAUGAGUACAAUUUAAACCUCUUAACGAGGAACAAUUGGAGGGCAAGUCUGGUG
RNAcentral lists this ribosomal RNA (527 nucleotides) under Alternaria alternata. RNAcentral describes it as "SSU rRNA". It matches the Rfam family "Eukaryotic small subunit ribosomal RNA", at positions 34 to 566 of the family's 1831-position model. Lineage: Eukaryota; Fungi; Ascomycota; Dothideomycetes; Pleosporales; Pleosporaceae. The record is from RNAcentral.